UACGGAGGGUGCAAGCGUUAAUCGGAAUUACUGGGCGUAAAGCGCACGCAGGCGGUUUGUUAAGUCAGAUGUGGAAUCCCCGGGCUCAACCUGGGAACUGCAUUUGAAACUGGCAAGCUAGAGUCUCGUAGAGGGGGGUGGAAUUCCAGGUGUAGCGGUGAAAUGCGUAGAGAUCUGGAAGAAUACCGGUGGCGAAGGCGGCCCCCCGGACCGAGACUGACGCUCAGGUGCGAAAGCGUGGGGAGCAAACAGG
Molecule: ribosomal RNA, 253 nt
Filed under: uncultured bacterium
Lineage: Bacteria
Description: partial 16S ribosomal RNA
Rfam family: Bacterial small subunit ribosomal RNA
Source: RNAcentral